AGUUAAUGAACUUGAAUAAGUUUAUGUUUUGAAAACAUAAUAUAGAAGUAUAACCUUCUAUUAACUU
RNAcentral lists this transfer RNA (67 nucleotides) under Nectoboreus dolerosus. Its description in RNAcentral is "tRNA-Ser". Lineage: Eukaryota; Metazoa; Arthropoda; Insecta; Coleoptera; Dytiscidae. The record is from RNAcentral.